GGCAAAGGGUCAACUUGCAGAAAUACCUCCAACUACGCCAGACUGGGAGUUCCCUUAUAGAACAAUUGUGGAAGAUGACAAAGAUGUUUCAAAGAAAGGCAAAAAGUCAACAAAAACAAAAGGCAAAGGAGAAGAUAUGAAACUGGCUUCUAUUAGCGGAACUGACAGACCAGGAAAAGCAGGUGAAAUACUUCCAGGAAAGAGUCAGGACCUUGCUGAAACAAAACCUAAGAGAAAAGCGAGUCUGAUACAAGAUAAAGAGCCUAUUACUCCAACUGAGAAAAGGGAAGAGACCAAGAAAACAAAAGCUAAAACAGAGGCAGUGGAUUCCAAAGGUGUGCCAAAAACUAAGGACUCUGGGGAAAUGAAAAAGCAACGAAAAGGGUCUUAAAAGAAUUCCUGAAAACCUUUGAAGAAUACCUUCAAAAUUCCAUGCGGCGUGAAAUAAAACCAAAACAGGAUGCCGGGUCUUGCUGCUGAAUAAAUAAGAUGGUUUGAGCUCCAGCAUAUUCUGUAGUCUUAUUAGGCAUU
This is a non-coding RNA of Anolis sagrei ordinatus, 531 nucleotides long. The record is from RefSeq and is a predicted model, not a curated record. Lineage: Eukaryota; Metazoa; Chordata; Lepidosauria; Squamata; Anolidae.